AUAAACUUAAAAAAGAGAAAGAAAGAAAGAAAGAAAGAAAGAAAGAAAGAAAGAAAGAAAGAAAGAAAGAAAGAAAGAAAGAAAGAAAGAAAGAAAGAAAGAAAGAAAGAAAGAAAGAAAGAAAGAAAGAAAGAAAGAAAGAAAGAAAGAAAGAAAGAAAGAAAGAAAGAAAGAAAGGAAGGAAGGAAGGAAGGAAGGAAGGAAGGAAGAGAGAGAGAGAGAGAGAGAGAGAGAAGGAGAG
Molecule: long non-coding RNA, 241 nt
Filed under: Monodelphis domestica (gray short-tailed opossum)
Lineage: Eukaryota; Metazoa; Chordata; Mammalia; Didelphimorphia; Didelphidae
Description: lncRNA (ENSMODG00000035763.2)
Source: RNAcentral